UCUUGGUCAUUAGAGGAAGUAAAAGUGUACCAAGGUCUCGUUGGUGAACCAGCGGAGGGAUCAUUACCGAGUUUACACUCCCAAACCCCUGUGGACCUAUACCUUUACUGUUGCCUCGGCGGGCACGGCCGCGGACGUCCCCUCGCGGGGGCACCGGGGCCAGGCGCCCGCCGGAGGACCCAAACCCUUCUGUAUUUUCUUACGCAUGUUUGAGUGGAUUUACAAAUGAAUCAAAACUUUCAACAACAGGAUCUCUUGGUUCUGGCAUCGAUGAAGAACGCAGCGAAAUGCGAUAAGUAAUGUGAAUUGCAGAAUUCAGUGAAUCAUCGAAUCUUUGAACGCACAUUGCGCCCGCCAGUACUCCUGGCGGGCAUGCCUGUUCGAGCCGCUCAUUUCAACCCUCAAGCCCGCUGCGUGCUUGGUGUUGGGGACCGGCCAGCCCGCCUCGCGGCGGCGGCCGCCCCUGAAAUGAAUUGGCGGUCUCGCCGCAGCCUUCUUUGCGUAGUAGCAUACCACCUCGCAACCAGGAGCGCGGCGCGGCCACUGCCGUAAAACGCCCAACUUCUCCAAGAGUUGACCUCGAAUCAGGUAGGAAUACCCGCUGAACUUAAGCAUAUCAAAAAAGCGGAGG
RNAcentral lists this ribosomal RNA (631 nucleotides) under uncultured Epichloe. RNAcentral describes it as "eukaryotic LSU rRNA". The stretch from base 235 to 390 matches the Rfam family "5.8S ribosomal RNA". Lineage: Eukaryota; Fungi; Ascomycota; Sordariomycetes; Hypocreales; Clavicipitaceae. The record is from RNAcentral.